This 732-nucleotide ribosomal RNA is filed under the name bacterium. Its description in RNAcentral is "partial 23S ribosomal RNA". It matches the Rfam family "Bacterial large subunit ribosomal RNA", at positions 1 to 579 of the family's 2925-position model. The record is from RNAcentral.
UAAUUGCAUUUUAAGGGCGUAUGGUGGAUGCCUUGACAUCAAAAGGCGAUGAAGGUCGUGGCGUGACUGCGAUAAGCCUCGGGGAGCCGUCUAGCGGGCUUUGAUCCGGGGAUGACCGAAUGGGGUAACCCUAUCGUGUGCAAACGCGAUAACUCCGUCUUUGACGGAGAGCAAACCCGGCGAAGUGAAACAUCUCAGUAGCCGGAGGAAAAUAAAAAGAAGCCAGCUUUGCUGGCAAUAUUUCCUGAGUAGCGGCGAGCGAAAUGGAAACAGUCUAAACCAUGUGCUUCGUUUACUAAUCACUAAAUUUCUGAUUUAGCGAUGGGUAAUCGGAGUGCAUGGGGUUGCAGGAAGGAUUUUCUUUUAAGGUACUGAUUAUCGGCAUAUGCUUGUGCUGAUAAUCAGUAUGUUGAGAGCAAGUUACAAAAUUAGGCGUUAGUUAAAUGGCCCUGGAAAGGCCAACCAAAGAAGGUGAUAGUCCUGUAAACGAAAAUUCCUAAUCUUACUCAACCGUCCUCAAUUUUCAAUUUUUGAAAGUUGAGGACGGUUGGAAAGUCCUCUCCUUAGUAGCCAUGGAGCAGACUAUCCGUGGUGAAUCCGGGCCUACUACGGUCCAAGACUAAAUACUUUUGGUGAUCGAUAGUGAACUAGUACCGUGAGGGAAAGGUGAAAAGAACCCCGUUGAGGGGAGUGAAAUAGCAACUGAAACCAUAUGCUUACAAAGAGCCGGAG